ACAGGCCUACGGGAGGCAGCAGUGGGGGAUAUUGCUCAAUGGGGGAAACCCUGAAGCAGCAACGCCGCGUGGAGGAUGAAGGUUUUCGGAUUGUAAACUCCUUUUGUUAGAGAAGAUAAUGACGGUAUCUAACGAAUAAGCACCGGCUAACUCCGUGCCAGCAGCCGCGGUAAUACGGAGGGUGCAAGCGUUACUCGGAAUCACUGGGCGUAAAGAGCGCGUAGGCGGGAUAGCAAGUCAGAUGUGAAAUCCUAUGGCUUAACCAUAGAACUGCAUUUGAAAUUGUUAUUCUAGAGUAUGGGAGG
RNAcentral lists this ribosomal RNA (305 nucleotides) under uncultured bacterium. RNAcentral's name for it is "bacterial SSU rRNA". It matches the Rfam family "Bacterial small subunit ribosomal RNA", at positions 333 to 655 of the family's 1533-position model. The record is from RNAcentral.